Molecule: non-coding RNA, 72 nt
Organism: Sciurus carolinensis (gray squirrel)
Lineage: Eukaryota; Metazoa; Chordata; Mammalia; Rodentia; Sciuridae
Source: the annotation of a RefSeq genome assembly
UGGGGAUGUGGCUCAGUGGUAGAGCACUUGCCUACCAUGCACAGGCCCUGGGUUCAAUCCCCAGCAUUGCAA